RNAcentral lists this ribosomal RNA (249 nucleotides) under uncultured bacterium. RNAcentral describes it as "partial 16S ribosomal RNA". It matches the Rfam family "Bacterial small subunit ribosomal RNA", at positions 796 to 1041 of the family's 1533-position model. The record is from RNAcentral.
CACGCCGUAAACGAUGAAUACUAGGUGUAGGAGGUAUCGACCCCUUCUGUGCCGCAGUUAACACAAUAAGUAUUCCGCCUGGGGAGUACGGUCGCAAGAUUAAAACUCAAAGGAAUUGACGGGGGCCCGCACAAGCAGCGGAGCAUGUGGUUUAAUUCGAAGCAACGCGAAGAACCUUACCAGGUCUUGACAUCCCGAUGACCGCUCUAGAGAUAGAGUUUUCCCUUCGGGGACAUUGGUGACAGGUGG